Molecule: non-coding RNA, 30 nt
Filed under: Rattus norvegicus (Norway rat)
Lineage: Eukaryota; Metazoa; Chordata; Mammalia; Rodentia; Muridae
Source: RNAcentral
CUGAAAUGAAGAGAAAACUCUCUGCUGAUC